GUCCUACGGGGGGCAGCAGUAGGAAUAUUGGUCAAUGGGAGAGAUCCUGAACCAGCCAAGCCGCGUGAGGGAAGACGGCCCUAUGGGUUGUAAACCUCUUUUGUCGGAGAACAAAACCCGGGACGUGUCCCGGACUGCGUGUAUCCGAAGAAAAAGCAUCGGCUAACUCCGUGCCAGCAGCCGCGGUAAUACGGAGGAUGCGAGCGUUAUCCGGAUUUAUUGGGUUUAAAGGGUGCGUAGGCGGUCCGUUAAGUCAGCGGUAAAAUUGCGGGGCUCAGCCCCGUCGAGCCGUUGAAACUGGCAGA
This 305-nucleotide ribosomal RNA is filed under the name uncultured bacterium. RNAcentral's name for it is "bacterial SSU rRNA". It matches the Rfam family "Bacterial small subunit ribosomal RNA", at positions 335 to 640 of the family's 1533-position model. The record is from RNAcentral.